RNAcentral lists this long non-coding RNA (646 nucleotides) under Piliocolobus tephrosceles (Ugandan red Colobus). RNAcentral describes it as "lncRNA (ENSPTEG00000035181.1)". Lineage: Eukaryota; Metazoa; Chordata; Mammalia; Primates; Cercopithecidae. The record is from RNAcentral.
GUAAACUUUUAAAGUAGUGCCUUCCCUCAUGGUCUUGGUAUGCCUUUGAUGAGCAAGGAAAGCCUUUCUCUGGAAACCCCCAGCAGACUGCCCUCAGGCUCCUCUGCUAUCACUGCUACGCAUGCCAACAACUAAUGCCAAGCGGGACAUAGUGCUAUGGGCAUCGGCAGAGCAGCUCACUUUUGGUCAGCGUGUUCAGACGUCUGAUUUAGCAGCUAUCCUACAUCAGACAGGCUGACUCUGGGCAUACGAAGAUGAUUAAGACAAAAAUCCCUGUCCUCACAGUCCAGAAUGAAGGACAGACACAUAAAGAUAAGUAUAACACAAGAUGGAUCAUGAAUUGUAGCUAAUAUUUAUUGGGUACUUACUAAGUGCCAGUGACUGCUGUAAGCUCUUGGUGUGUUUUACCCCUUCAGUUCUCCCCAACCUCUGUUAGGUACAUGUCUCAUAGAUUGAUUCAUAGAUAGGACUGAAGCCUGGUGAUUGUCUGCGGUUUUAUAAGUAACAAGUGGCAGAGCCAGGAUGAACACCCAGUGGAUGGGUAUUAGUCCCACUUGGCCAUCAAGAGGUCCCACUUGGCCAUCAAGCUCUACUGUUUCUUGAUGAUAAAGUAGCACACGGGACCGUAAGUGGGUGGGGGGGGGGG